Molecule: ribosomal RNA, 492 nt
Filed under: uncultured bacterium
Lineage: Bacteria
Description: partial 16S ribosomal RNA
Rfam family: Bacterial small subunit ribosomal RNA
Source: RNAcentral
AGUGAACGCUGGCGGUAGGCCUAACACAUGCAAGUCGAACGGCAGCACAGUAAGAGCUUGCUCUUACGGGUGGCGAGUGGCGGACGGGUGAGGAAUACAUCGGAAUCUACUUUUUCGUGGGGGAUAACGGAGGGAAACUUACGCUAAUACCGCAUACGACCUACGGGUGAAAGCAGGGGAUCUUCGGACCUUGCGCGAUUGAAUGAGCCGAUGUCGGAUUAGCUAGUUGGCGGGGUAAAGGCCCACCAAGGCGACGAUCCGUAGCUGGUCUGAGAGGAUGAUCAGCCACACUGGAACUGAGACACGGUCCAGACUCCUACGGGAGGCAGCAGUAGGGAAUAUUGGACAAUGGGCGCAAGCCUGAUCCAGCCAUGCCGCGUGGGUGAAGAAGGCCUUCGGGUUGUAAAGCCCUUUUGUUGGGAAAGAAAAGCAGCAGAUUAAUACCCCGCUGUUCUGACGGUACCCAAAGAAUAAGCACCGGCUAACUUCGUG